GACGAACGCUGGCGGCGUGCCUAAUACAUGCAAGUUGAGCGCUGAAGGUUGGUACUUGUACCUACUGGAUUAGCAGCGAACGGGUGAGUAACGCGUGGGUAAUCUGCCUUUGAGCGGGGGACAACUUUUGGAAACGAAUGCUAAUACCGCAUAAAAACUUUAAACACAAGUUUUAAGUUUGAAAGAUGCAAUUGCAUCACUCAAAGAUGAUCCCGCGUUGUAUUAGCUAAUUGGUGAGGUAAAGGCUCACCAAGGCGAUGAUACAUAGCCGACCUGAGAGGGGGAUCGGCCACAUUGGGACUGAGACACGGCCCAAACUCCUAAGGGAGGGAGCAGUAGGGAAUCUUAGGCAAAGGACGAAAGUCUGAACGAGCAAAGCCGCGGGAGUGAAGAAGGGUUUCGGAACGUAAAAAUCUGUUGGUAGAGAAGAAAGUUGGGGAGAGUGGAAAGCUCAUAAAGUGACGGUAACUACCCAGAAAGGGACGGCUAACUACGUG
This 497-nucleotide ribosomal RNA is filed under the name uncultured bacterium. RNAcentral describes it as "partial 16S ribosomal RNA". It matches the Rfam family "Bacterial small subunit ribosomal RNA", at positions 28 to 507 of the family's 1533-position model. The record is from RNAcentral.